RNAcentral lists this ribosomal RNA (1053 nucleotides) under Pseudomonas mandelii PD30. RNAcentral's name for it is "bacterial LSU rRNA". It matches the Rfam family "Bacterial large subunit ribosomal RNA", at positions 219 to 1322 of the family's 2925-position model. The record is from RNAcentral. Lineage: Bacteria; Pseudomonadati; Pseudomonadota; Gammaproteobacteria; Pseudomonadales; Pseudomonadaceae.
AAGAAAUCAACCGAGAUUCCCUUAGUAGUGGCGAGCGAACGGGGACUAGCCCUUAAGUGGCUUUGAGAUUAGCGGAACGCUCUGGAAAGUGCGGCCAUAGUGGGUGAUAGCCCUGUACGCGAAAAUCUCUUAGUCAUGAAAUCGAGUAGGACGGAGCACGAGAAACUUUGUCUGAAUAUGGGGGGACCAUCCUCCAAGGCUAAAUACUACUGACUGACCGAUAGUGAACUAGUACCGUGAGGGAAAGGCGAAAAGAACCCCGGAGAGGGGAGUGAAAUAGAUCCUGAAACCGUAUGCGUACAAGCAGUGGGAGCCCACUUUGUUGGGUGACUGCGUACCUUUUGUAUAAUGGGUCAGCGACUUAUUUUCAGUGGCGAGCUUAACCGAAUAGGGGAGGCGUAGCGAAAGCGAGUCUUAAUAGGGCGUCUAGUCGCUGGGAAUAGACCCGAAACCGGGCGAUCUAUCCAUGGGCAGGUUGAAGGUUGGGUAACACUAACUGGAGGACCGAACCGACUACCGUUGAAAAGUUAGCGGAUGACCUGUGGAUCGGAGUGAAAGGCUAAUCAAGCUCGGAGAUAGCUGGUUCUCCUCGAAAGCUAUUUAGGUAGCGCCUCAUGUAUCACUGUAGGGGGUAGAGCACUGUUUCGGCUAGGGGGUCAUCCCGACUUACCAAACCGAUGCAAACUCCGAAUACCUACAAGUGCCGAGCAUGGGAGACACACGGCGGGUGCUAACGUCCGUCGUGAAAAGGGAAACAACCCAGACCGUCAGCUAAGGUCCCAAAGUUAUGGUUAAGUGGGAAACGAUGUGGGAAGGCUUAGACAGCUAGGAGGUUGGCUUAGAAGCAGCCACCCUUUAAAGAAAGCGUAAUAGCUCACUAGUCGAGUCGGCCUGCGCGGAAGAUGUAACGGGGCUCAAACCAUACACCGAAGCUACGGGUAUCACUUAGGUGAUGCGGUAGAGGAGCGUUCUGUAAGCCUGUGAAGGUGAGUUGAGAAGCUUGCUGGAGGUAUCAGAAGUGCGAAUGCUGACAUGAGUAACGACAAUGGGUGU